Molecule: ribosomal RNA, 517 nt
Filed under: uncultured bacterium
Lineage: Bacteria
Description: bacterial SSU rRNA
Rfam family: Bacterial small subunit ribosomal RNA
Source: RNAcentral
GAGUUUGAUCCUGGCUCAGGAUGAACGCUGGCGGCGUGCUUAACACAUGCAAGUCGAACGAAGCACCUUGAUUUGAUUCUUCGGAUGAAGAUCUUGGUGACUGAGUGGCGGACGGGUGAGUAACGCGUGGGUAACCUGCCUCAUACAGGGGGAUAACAGUUAGAAAUGACUGCUAAUACCGCAUAAGACCACGGUACCGCAUGGUACAGUGGUAAAAACUCCGGUGGUAUGAGAUGGACCCGCGUCUGAUUAGGUAGUUGGUGGGGUAACGGCCUACCAAGCCGACGAUCAGUAGCCGACCUGAGAGGGUGACCGGCCACAUUGGGACUGAGACACGGCCCAGACUCCUACGGGAGGCAGCAGUGGGGAAUAUUGCACAAUGGAGGAAACUCUGAUGCAGCGACGCCGCGUGAAGGAUGAAGUAUUUCGGUAUGUAAACUUCUAUCAGCAGGGAAGAAAAUGACGGUACCUGACUAAGAAGCCCCGGCUAACUACGUGCCAGCCGCCGCGGUAAUCC